Molecule: non-coding RNA, 2177 nt
Organism: Pelobates cultripes (western spadefoot toad)
Lineage: Eukaryota; Metazoa; Chordata; Amphibia; Anura; Pelobatidae
Source: the annotation of a GenBank genome assembly
GUUCUGCCCAAGACAUUACGCUCUUGCCAGAUUGAUUUUUGACAGAAUAUUCCCUGCAUUAGUGUCUAAGUGAAUUCUUCUCGCUGUGAUAUCAAGGAACCAUACCCACUUGGUCAGCUUGCACAUACUCAGUAGAGAUACCAUGGACACACAUGCAGACUAUAGUGUACUAAAAUGUUUCAAAAUUCACAUGGAUGUAGCUAUUACCAAUAUGAAGUCCUGAAGGUAACCUUCCUCAGCAAAGGAUCCAUAACCAGACCAGCACUACUCACCUCCAUUCAGUGGUGCAUUAUGGAGCCUCUGUGUUGACUCUUGGGCAAUUCUGAGAGUCAAUACAGGUGUAAGGAAGUCAUCACAGGGCCUCCACAGGCAUGCAUGAACCCUGUAGUUUGUGCAUGCCCAUUAAGAAGAAUGUUGACUAUGAUGGCAGACCCAGUGGGACCAGCACAACAGAAAAUAAGGUAAUGUGCUCUGAACCUGUGGGCCACAAGGAGUUGUGAGGAUGGGAGGGGCUGUCCAGAAGGUGUCAUCCAUAGGCUGGGAAACAGUGGUGAAAUUUGUUGACAGAGCCACUAUAAAGAAGUUUGGACCUACUAGGCUUCCUUAAAAACCUCAGAUGUUGCUUCAAUGAUGCUUUAAUGAAACCUUGUACAUGGUUAAGAGGUGUGUAUAAGCUAUACCCCAAAUCUACAGGGCAAGACUUAUUUCCAUAUUGGGGGAGUGAACACAAGUUUUGGAACCAAUGCGAUUCAAACAAACUAUCUCACAGGAAAAGAAGAACAAGUUUUUUACAACUUGACAUUUUUAAAAAAUACACUCCAGUUACGGUGUGUCACUGCCAAAAUGAUAUAUAUAUAUAUAUAUUAAAUAGCAAGGGUCUUGGUUCAACAAGAGCUGGAGGCCAACCCUGCUUUAAAUGGCUAACCUUUAGCACUCAGGACUGCGUUUCCCAGAAUACACUGACAGAUCUUUUUUCUAGCUGAGCGUCAUGGGAAAUAAUUUGUGACCGAUGGAGUGUCUUAACAUAUAGUAACAUUAUAAUAUUAGAGUAUUCUGUGUGGCCAAAGGGGUCUGGGUGUACUUCAGUGUUAAUGUAUAAUCAAAAGUAACAUCACAUUCAUCCAUCAGGUACACACAACAAAGACCCACACUGAUAUAUGGAGCUUGUAUUAUGAACUUGUAAAGGUCUGGUCUCCUACUACUAGAGUAACUGCGCAGAACACGGUGACUGCCCCUUGGCACACUAACUCGGCAUCAUGGGAUACGGAGUCCGCAAUAGCUGGCGUGCCAAUUGUUAUGAAUUGCUUUUCGCCAUAAUGUCACGGCACAAUCUCACCUUAAAUUGGAAGCAGUUAUAAUAACACGGUUAAUCACUAAUGUGAAAAUGUGAAGUGGAUUUAAAAUUUAGGUUCAAAAUAGCAGAAGUCAGGAAAAUCCUCUAAGCCAGCUAUGCUUUCAUUUCAGCUACUCUGGCCUUACGUUAGAAUUUGCCCUGUGAAUUCUCACCUUAGUAAAUUAGCCUGUGAGUAUCUACAAUAGGGUUACAUACAACGAUUGCUCCCAUGAGAGAUGUAUUAUAGGCUCCUACUUCAAGGGUAAAUCUCACCCAUUCUGUAAAUAAAGUGCUGAUCGUUAGUGAAUUGAAAAUGAAAAUGUCUAAGUAAAUAGCCAAGCUGUGUCGAUACUUAAGUAAGAUAAUGUUUCCAAAUCAGCACUUUUUUUUGUCUGAAAUUUGUAAUUCAGUUUUCGAUUCACUAUCCCGCUGUGUUACUAAAGAGAUGCAGUUAUUCACGAACCUGUGAAUAGCUAGGAAUUCAUUGGGGAAUUGUAAAUUUAGGUUCCAAAUAGCAACUUUCAACAAUUCAGAGUUUAAUAAACAUUUUUACACUUUAUGGUGAGUAUGUCUCUCUAUAAAGAAUAAUAAUCUCUUCCUUACAGUGAACUGGACAAACGUAUCACAAGCAUAGCUGAAAAGUCUUACCAUUACAUAUUCCUCAUUGUUUUUGGUGAUUUCCACCACGCAAUUGGUAGAAGAAAACACACAGUCAACAACUGCAUCCCCUGAGCCAGUCUGAUUUGAGCCUGUAAUGACUAUCCAGGCAUAGGCAACCUUCAGCACUCCAGAUGUUUUGGACUACACCUCCCAUGAUGCUUUGCCAACAUUAUGGGUGUAAGAG